UACGACUAGGUAUAAAUACAAUUCCCUAAGCAAGCUGAUGCGCAACCAUAUUUUGUAGAACACUUGACAAAUAACAAUUGAACAUGACACUGCAUAAAACUUCGACAUUCCUAAUUAAUCACUCCAAAAUGAGACCGCAUUGGAGUUGCUGACCUGAUGGCUUGAACCACAACCAAGCAAUCAGACUCGAGGGUAACUCCUAACCAUUUCUUCUAAUCAAUCCAGCUUAAGGCUUCCUUCACAGCUAUGGCCUCCGCAAGAACUGGGCUAAUGCACUCCGACUUCGUUAAGACUUUUGUUUCUAUCAAUCUUCCAUCUGAAUCUCUAGCGACCAUUCCGAAACCAACUUCAGACCUAUCUUCAAAAAUAGUUGCAUCAACGGACACCUUAACUGUGUUUGGUUGGGGCUUUACCCAGGAAGCUAGUAACUCCAUCUCUAUUAGCCUGUGGUUCAAGAAGAAUGCUAGAAGACCUGCUCAGGGCGAUUGUAAAUUGUGUAAGCCUGUGUUUCGCUGCUGCUACUAUCUUGUUAACAGAUGAGAAUUUCUGAUUCCAAACUAGAUCCUUGCGAGCCCUCCAGAUGGCCCAACACAGGGUCUGCUU
Molecule: long non-coding RNA, 603 nt
Filed under: Daucus carota (carrot)
Lineage: Eukaryota; Viridiplantae; Streptophyta; Magnoliopsida; Apiales; Apiaceae
Description: long non-coding RNA (DCAR_LNC007286)
Source: RNAcentral